This is a long non-coding RNA of Bos taurus (domestic cattle), 781 nucleotides long. Lineage: Eukaryota; Metazoa; Chordata; Mammalia; Artiodactyla; Bovidae. The record is from Ensembl.
GAGAAGUUCUAAUCAAGGACAUAUUCAUAGGCAGACCAUCUGGUUGAAGUGGGAGGAGAUAUUUGAAGAGAAUGUCUGUGAAGAAGUGAAAGGGGUGAUGAAAGAGAACUCUCUAGUGAGAGAUGAUUAUGGAGCCCUUUUGAGUGAUAGCAAGAGUUGUGUGGCUGUCUGGGAACUAAAAAGGAAUAAGAUUAAUGUAAAUAUAAACCGAGACACCCCAUUAUUUGAGAAGGAUACACUUGGGAGAUUGUCUUGUAAACUAAGUGAAAGAGCUGCCAGACACCAUCUCCUGGAAAUGCCUAGAAGAGACAGGAAGCUAAGAGGAAAACAGCAAACCGUGGAAGAGAGACCUGCCAGUCUGCAUCGUAUCACCCACCUCCCCGAGCUGGGCUCCUCAUACUGACUCAGCAGACAUUUAUCACUAUGAACUUCCCUCUUAGAACUGCUUUUGCUGCAUGCCAUUUUUCUGGCUAGUAAUUCCAGUACCAUGUUGAAAAGUGGCAAGAGUGAACAUCCCUGUCUUGUUCCUGGUCUUAGAAGAAAAGUUUGAAACUUUCAUCAUUGAGUAUGAUGUUGGUGUGGAUUUGCCACAUAUGGCCUUUAUUUUGUAGAGAAAGCUAUUGUUUUACUCUGAUGCUUUUGCAAAAGUGUUUCAUCUUCAAGAGAUCCAUGGAAAUGACUGACAAGUCAAGAAUUAAUUACAUGGAACUGAAUGAACUGAUGAGGAAGAUAUAUAAUUUAAUGUCUUUUUCUUUAGAACAUUGUUUAUAUUCUCUUGAAG